UGGGGAAUUUUGGACAAUGGGCGAAAGCCUGAUCCAGCAAUGCCGCGUGUGUGAAGAAGGCCUUCGGUUGUAAGCACUUUUGUCCGGAAAGAAAUCCUUGGCUCUUAAUACAGUCGAGGGAUGACGGUACCGGAAGAAUAAGCACCGGCUAACUACGUGCCAGCAGCCGCGGUAAUACGUAGGGUGCAAGCGUUAAUCGGAAUUACUGGGCGUAAAGCGUGCGCAGGCGGUUUGCUAAGACCGAUGUGAAAUCCCCGGGCUCAACCUGGGAACUGCAUUGGUGACUGGCAGGCUAGAGUAUGGCAGAGGGGGGUAGAAUUCCACGUGUAGCAGUGAAAUGCGUAGAGAUGUGGAGGAAUACCGAUGGCGAAGGCAGCCCCCUGGGCCAAAUACUGACGCUCAUGCACGAAAAGCGUGGGGGAGCAAACAGGAUUAGAUACCCUGGUAGUCCACGCCCCUAAACGAUGUCAACUAGUUGUUGGGGGAUUCAUUUUCCUUAGUAACGUAGCUAACGCGUGAA
This 520-nucleotide ribosomal RNA is filed under the name uncultured bacterium. Its description in RNAcentral is "partial 16S ribosomal RNA". It matches the Rfam family "Bacterial small subunit ribosomal RNA", at positions 355 to 863 of the family's 1533-position model. The record is from RNAcentral.